CUACAAAUGAAUUGACGGGGCCCGCACAAGCGGUGAGCAUGUGGUUUAAUUCGAAGCAACGCGAAGAACCUUACCAGGUCUUGACAUCCCCUGACAACCCGAGAGAUCGGGCGUUCCCCUUCGGGGGGACAGGGUGACAGGUGGUGCAUGGUUGUCGUCAGCUCGUGUCGUGAGAUGUUGGGUUAAGUCCCGCAACGAGCGCAACCCUCGACCUUAGUUGCCAGCAUUCAGUUGGGCACUCUAAGGUGACUGCCGGCUAAAAGUCGGAGGAAGGUGGGAUGACGUCAAAUCAUCAUGCCCCUUAUGACCUGGGCUACACACGUGCUACAAUGGUUGGUACAACGAGUUGCGAGUCGGUGACGGCGAGCUAAUCUCUUAAAGCCAAUCUCAGUUCGGAUUGUAGGCUGCAACUCGCCUACAUGAAGUCGGAAUCGCUAGUAAUCGCGGAUCAGCACGCCGCGGUGAAUACGUUCCCGGGCCUU
This 482-nucleotide ribosomal RNA is filed under the name uncultured Streptococcus sp. RNAcentral's name for it is "bacterial SSU rRNA". It matches the Rfam family "Bacterial small subunit ribosomal RNA", at positions 903 to 1382 of the family's 1533-position model. The record is from RNAcentral. Lineage: Bacteria; Bacillati; Bacillota; Bacilli; Lactobacillales; Streptococcaceae.